UACGUAGGGUGCGAGCGUUGUCCGGAAUUACUGGGCGUAAAGAGCUCGUAGGUGGUUUGUCACGUCGGCUGUGAAAUCCCGAGGCUCAACCUCGGAACUGCAGUCGAUACUGCUGUGGCUAGAGUCUGGUAGAGGAGAGUGGAAUUCCCGGUGUAGCGGUGAAAUGCGCAGAUAUCGGGAGGAACACCAGUGGCGAAGGCGGCUCGCUGGCUCGACACUGACGCUGAGGUGCGAAAGCGUGGGGAGCAAACAGGA
RNAcentral lists this ribosomal RNA (255 nucleotides) under uncultured prokaryote. RNAcentral describes it as "partial 16S ribosomal RNA". It matches the Rfam family "Bacterial small subunit ribosomal RNA", at positions 524 to 777 of the family's 1533-position model. The record is from RNAcentral.